RNAcentral lists this ribosomal RNA (995 nucleotides) under human gut metagenome. RNAcentral describes it as "bacterial SSU rRNA". It matches the Rfam family "Bacterial small subunit ribosomal RNA", at positions 345 to 1355 of the family's 1533-position model. The record is from RNAcentral.
GGAGGAGCAGUGGGGAAUAUUGGGCCUUGGGCGAAAGCCUGACCCAGCAACGCCGCGUGAAGGAAGAAGGCCUUCGGGUUGUAAACUUCUUUUAAGAGGGACGAAGAAGUGACGGUACCUCUUGAAUAAGCCACGGCUAACUACAUGCCAGCAGCCGCGGCAAUACGUAGGUGGCGAGCGUUAUCCGGAUUUACUGGGUGUAAAGGGCGCGUAGGCUGGAAUGCAAGUCAGAUGUGAAAUCCAAGGGCUCAACCCUUGAACUGCAUUUGAAACUGCAUUUCUUGAGUGUCGGAGAGGUUGACGGAAUUCCUAGCGUAGCGGUGAAAUGCGUAGAUGUUACGAGGAACGCCAGUGGCGAAGGCGGGCAUCUGGACAAUAACUGACGCUGAGAGCGCGAAAGCGAGAGGAGCAAACAGGAUUAGAUACCCUGGUAGGCCACGCCGUAGACCAUGAAUACUAGGUGUGGGGGGACUGACCCCUUCCGUGCCGCCGUUGACACUAUAAGUAUAUCCACCUGGGGAGUAUGACCGCGCGGUUGCAACUCAAAGCAAUUGAGGGGGGACCGCACAAGCAGAGGCUCAUGUGGGUAAAUUCGAAGCAUCACCUGGAACCUGACCAGGGCUUGAUCUCCCACUAACGAAGCAUAGAUGCUUUCCGUGCGCAUCGCAGAAUGUUGAGACAGGUGGUGCAUCGCUGGCGUCCGCUCGUGACGUGAGAUGUUGGCUUAAGUCACGCACUUGGCGCAACGCCUUUUGUUAGAUGCUUACCAAAAGCACUCCAACGAGACUGCUUUCUACAAACCGGAGGAGGGUGGGGAAAAACCUCUAACCAUCGGGCCCCUGGAGUCAAGGGCUUACAACUUAAAACUUAGGGGGUUUACCCGCGGAAACCAACCUUUGGACGGGGAAGAACACCGCUAAAAGGGGCCCCCCUUUGGAUACGGGGCUGCCACCUCCUAGUUGGCCCUUGAAUUACCAAAAAUAACCGGACCUUUU